ACCGCGGUAGCCCAGUUGGUAGUGGCGUCGGCAGUACAGAUCCCGAAGGUCGCAGGUUCAAAUCCUGCCUGCGGUG
Phthorimaea operculella (potato tuberworm) is the source of this 76-nucleotide non-coding RNA. Lineage: Eukaryota; Metazoa; Arthropoda; Insecta; Lepidoptera; Gelechiidae. The record is from the annotation of a GenBank genome assembly.